Myxocyprinus asiaticus (Chinese sucker) is the source of this 2353-nucleotide long non-coding RNA. RefSeq lists it as uncharacterized. The transcript has 2 exons. The record is from RefSeq and is a predicted model, not a curated record. Lineage: Eukaryota; Metazoa; Chordata; Actinopteri; Cypriniformes; Catostomidae.
GCCACUGGAGUAGUGAUGCAUGUUAGUAGCAGUUCUAAAGUUGAGAAAGUGAGAAAUACUAGAUUAAUAAUUGAGAUUCAUAGUUUAAGACAUCGUUAACAGGAAAAAGUUGUUUAAAUAGUUCUAAUCGCGUUUGUAUUAACUCCAAAGAUUGAACGAGAAAAUGAGCUGAUUCAUCUCACGGAAACUGCAUAAAACAGAUUUUCCUUGAUUCAUCAGAGAUUAUUUCAAAUUGUUGUCAUUUUAUUCUUGAGUCUCCCGGAGUUCUGAGUAAAACUGUUUCUGCCAUCAACAAGCAGUGCUCAACAUUGGUAGAAACUGGCGAGCCAACCUGGUUUUUCCUGAGCUUGGACAACAUUUCCUGGUUCAUCGAAGUGGUAGGACCACACAUGUUCAUUUUAUCCUUUCCCUGGAUAAUAUCACAACUGUGGGCAAGAACUUUUUUUUUUUUUUUUGUUUUUUUUUUUUGCAUCUUGGAGUUUGCAUAUCUGUAUUCUUUAAACUGAACACUGUAACAGAUGUAUGAAAGACACUGAACUGAGCUAAACUCUUGUUUAUUUAAUUGAGUCAUUACCAUCAAAGACAUUUAGCUGAAAAAGAACUCUGAUUUGGGUGUCAUUGGAUAUUUUACCCAAAAUGUAUUGUCCAAACUAGUGUUUGUUUUGUUUUCCCCAUCUUUUAUUGAAAUUGUUCUGAAAAAAGGGAACAGGAAGGUUGAGUCAUAUAACUGUAAUUUGAGUUUUGAAUGUUAACCAGUUAUAUCAUUUAUGUGGAAAAGAAACACGGUUGUUUAAGGUUCUUUUGUGAAAUAUUUAAAAAAAAAAUAUAUAUAUUUUUUUUCCCUCUCCAACAUUCCCUCUUAAAUAAUACACAGAAAUACAAAAGAAAAUUACUUAUCUUUUCAGCUAUAACCCAGUCUUCUGUGGUUAUUUCCCUUGUCUCGCUGCAACGCUGGCUCAAGAGCGAACGUGGUCUUCUGAUCUGGUCCAAGGCAUUAGAAAGUGGUUUAUGCUUAGAUUGUAAGCCACGUGUGUCACGUGCUACAAGAGUUGGCGAGCCAGUUCUUGCAGCGAGGGUAACUGUUAAAGAAACCGAGAAGGGAAAUUAGUAAAAUGAGGAGGUUUGAAAUUUUCAACCGUUACAGUGGAAAUUGUGAAGUGGGAAAACGUUAACGUAGCAAAUGUGCUCCUAGUCGGAGGCCUUACGUUAACGGAAGUAGACCAUGAGCUGGAAAUGUACCAGAGAUAUGGUUCAAUUAGCCGUAAUAUUAUCAUUGAUGACCCAGCUUCAGAGUUUCACAGAAGUGUCAUCAUAGAAUAUAACCAUAACUCAGCAAUCCAAAAUUUGUGCCCUUUCUUACCCUUAACUUUGGGGAGUCUCUCCGACCCAGGUGUUACCUUCCGAGUGCAUGCCUUAGCUGCUGUCUGCACUCAAACUGCUAGCUGCGCUGCCACUGAAAGGUAUCUUGAGGAAUUGAAGGCCAUUGCCAAAGAGAGUGGAAGGCCUUUCCAAAGUGUGCUUCAAGAGGAAUUGGAGAAACUCAGAGAAACCCAUUCUGCAAAUCAAGAUCCAGCAGAAUCUCAACAUAUGGGCUGCCAUGGCUUUAGCAGUGACUCCCAGAGUGCAGAGGCCAUCAUCCCACCACCAAUAAGUAGCUCCCAGACUUCCAACCUGACUCAUUUAAAAGUAACAAACUCAAAGCUCAGAACCUAAAAACCCAACCAAGUAUAAAACUACAUUUGUGUCUCCCCUUUCUCCAGAAGCCACCACUGAUGAUAUUACUGUGACAACCUGCCCUGCUUUCCCCACAAAUAUUUUGGACCCACCCAGUAUCCAGAGAAUGGUGGUUGAACACAGUGAAAACAAGCGAAGCUACCCUGUCCCAGCAAACCUCAGUCUGUCUGAAGGUUUUCUCAGGGAGGUCUCCUCGUCCCCCCAACAAACCAGAUUUCGACACCUGGCGUGCAAGUGUAGACUUCUUGUUAAAUGAUCCUUCCAUCUCUGACUUGCACAGAACACGAAAAAUCCUUGACAGUCUCUUACCUCCAGCUGCCGACAUUGUCAAACAUGUGCGCCCUACCUGCUGUGUAUCUUGAGCUGUUAGAGUCCGUAUAUGGUUCUGUCGAGGACGGAGACAAGUUGUUGGCCAAACUCAUGGGCACUCUACAGAAUCAGAGUGAGAAACCAUCAGACUAUCUGCACCGCUUACAAGUCAUUCUGAAUGCAGCAAUCAGGCGAGGUGGCAUAGCAGAAAGUGAACGUGAUUGUUACCUUUUGAAACAGUUCUGCAGAGGGUGUUGGGACAAUUGUCUCAUUGCUGACCUUCAGCUUGAAAAAAGAGAAAUCCAACCAC